This 818-nucleotide long non-coding RNA is filed under the name Homo sapiens (human). Its description in RNAcentral is "non-protein coding lnc-KDM1A-2:1". The record is from RNAcentral. Lineage: Eukaryota; Metazoa; Chordata; Mammalia; Primates; Hominidae.
UAUUACACUUACACCAAGCUCCUGGCCAUCUCUUGUGGCUUCAAGCAGAACCCCAAGCAGUUCAUGAUCACCUGGAUCUUGCAGAUGCACAACCAGUGGGCCACGCCCUGUCCUUGAACUCCUGGGAGCUGGUGGUGCUAAUGGGCAACUUGACUCACAAUGCCAUCUUCAACUACCACUGCAAUGCCUUGUGGGAAAGUGGCAUGGCACUGCUUGCCUGGCUGCUCAGAGCCUGGUGCCAGCGCUAAAAGUCCUUCCUGCCCUUUGAGGCCACCGAGCUGCCUUUCUAGCCCUGGACCACCAAGGAGGAGGGCAUCCAGCUGGUGUGCAAGACAGGCAUGCUCGACUGGAUCUACUGUGAGCCCCUCUCGGCCUCCUUGGACCCCUUGUCCCCCUCACAUGAGCCAGUGGCACCCAAGGACAUGCCCUUCACUCAGGGCCUACAGCAGUGUCUGCUGCUGGCAACACCUGCUGCUGGCAGCACCCUCAGAGCUACAUCUCUCCCUGGUCACUCUGCUAGAGGCCAUGAUGGAGCUCAGACCAUCUCCAACGUUGGCCUGCUCUGGCAUCAGAGCCAGUCACGCCACACCAGGCUCAUGCUGGAGCCCAAUCCAAUGCUCAAGCACCUCACAGGCUGGCUCCUUAGCCACAGUGUGCCCAGGGAGAAGGUGGAUAAAGAGCUCACCAAGGUCCUCCUGGAGCUGUACGGCAAAGAGGCCAAGUACAACCACAGCUACCUGGUCUGUGGGCUGGGAGACGAACAGUCCCUACCACCCCUCUACUCUGACCAGGCCAGCAGGUUGGAGCCACCCAUGCGU